RNAcentral lists this ribosomal RNA (301 nucleotides) under uncultured bacterium. RNAcentral's name for it is "partial 16S ribosomal RNA". It matches the Rfam family "Bacterial small subunit ribosomal RNA", at positions 509 to 807 of the family's 1533-position model. The record is from RNAcentral.
CAGUAGCCGCGGUAAUACGAAGGGUGCAAGCGUUAAUCGGAAUUACUGGGCGUAAAGCGUGCGUAGGCGGUGAGUUAAGUCUGCUGUGAAAUCCCCGGGCUCAACCUGGGAAUGGCAGUGGAUACUGGGUCACUAGAGUGUGGUAGAGGAUAGUGGAAUUUCCGGUGUAGCAGUGAAAUGCGUAGAGAUCGGAAGGAACAUCUGUGGCGAAGGCGACUAUCUGGGCCAACACUGACACUGAGGCACGAAAGCGUGGGGAGCAAACAGGAUUAGAGACCCGCGUAGUCCCUGUCUCUUAUAC